RNAcentral lists this ribosomal RNA (353 nucleotides) under Agenusetacus cf. fagraeae GD108. RNAcentral describes it as "partial small subunit ribosomal RNA". Lineage: Eukaryota; Metazoa; Arthropoda; Arachnida; Trombidiformes; Eriophyidae. The record is from RNAcentral.
CUUGUGUGAUCAAGAGUGACGGGCGAUAUGUGCAUGGGUAAUUGCUUAUUAUGUUAGAGAUUUUGAUUCUUGACAUAUUUACAGAUCCUUCUUGGAUUAAUUUAUAAAAUUUCUUCUGAUUUUUAGUGACCCUCCCGUACCCACUAUGUAGACUUUGCCUCGAUCUGCUUUUUAGAACUUUUUCAUUCUAUUCUUUUUCUGGUGUCUAGAGUUUGACGAUGGUAUGAAGGUUAAAACUAAUGGUUGAUUUAAUCGUGGGUUGUCGGUUCUAGGGUAGGUCCCUCUGAUUAGGUUUCCCACCGCCAUUCGGGCUGGAUUUUGCUUCUUUAGCUAAUCUCUAUUUUAUUGUAAAG